GAGCGGAAGCAAGUAGCUCUUUUUGAAUCUAACACUGGUGGAAUUACCAGACAUGCCUAGCAAGUGUUCACAUUAUUACCUUCGGUCCUAAGAAUUCACUUACGUGUCAUUUGCUACUCUUCUUCCCAAUUUUUUGGUUUAUGUGCCUUCUUGGCCAUAUGCCGUUUGAGUGAGAUAGUCGUACGUGUCUUCCGCUACAUAUUGCAAUCAAGCCGGGUGCAAUCAUAUGUCCCUCCUAGAAUUUUCUUCUGUUUAGUGGAUCAAAUUUUGCAAUCAAACGAUUCUCUUUCAGCCGAAGACAAACGCAUAUAUGUAUAUACUCGUUGUUCUAUUUCACUUCCCAUCUUGGUUUAGCUUUGUUGUUUCUAGGUACACAGAUUAUAGCCCAAACUCCACAACCUGGUCAAGUGGUUACUGGAUUGGACCGUGCAAUCAUUACCAUGAAGAAGAAGGAGAUGGUAGUAUUCAUGCUACCCCCUGAUUUGGGUUAUGGAGUCACAGGCAGAAAUGGUGUCCCUCCUAAUUGUGUUAUUUAGUUUGAAGUGGAUCUUAUCUCAUGGAUUACAGUAGUAGAUGUUUGCAAGAAUGAUGGAAUUAUCAAGAAAGUGAUGGAGAAGAAAGAAGAAAUUGGCCCACUCCCAUCUCAGUUCUUACCCAGGGUUUGUUUUCUCUUUUCAAUAUUUUUCCUUAAAAUUGUUUUGAUGCUAAUAGAAUGAUGAUUUUUUCAUGUGUCUUAUGAUUGAUUGAUUUAUGAUAUUUGUAUAAAGCGAGAUCAGAAACCUUAAUAGUCUUUGGCACCCUUGGGAGAGGGAAAAGUUGUGUAUUUUACAUUGACUGAUCUUUGGAAUUCUUUUGAUGAAUGGAGUGCUUACGAUGCUGGAGUUCAGAUCAGAGUGGACAAUGGAGAAACUCUAAUUCAUUACUAUGUGCCUUACCUCUUUGCAAUCAAAAUGUUUAUGAGAAACUCGUCGAAUAGUUUAAGGUAUCAAUUUCAUUCUUGACAUUUGUAUAUAAACAUUUAUAAUUAGCUAGAGCUCGUGCACUGGGUUGCUUUGUUUUUUAUUUAUAAUUUAAUAAUGUGAUACAGUUUGGAACAAAGAUUAUUUGUUGUGAUUACAAAGUUGCUUAAACAAUUAAUUGUGAACUUUUAUUCUACUUUUGCCAUCAUCUCAUAUUCUUUAUAGUUGGUUUUCAGGUUGGUACAAUUUUGUAAUGUAAUUGAUUGGAACCCUCAUACGAGUUAGCCAAAGUUUUCCCAUUUUGGUGAUUUCUUUCUUGCUUUUUGGUAUUAAUUGUAAUUCUAUGUUCUUAAAUUGGUUUGGCAAUUGAAAUUCUUCAAUCCCAUGAUUGAUUGUUUGGUGUUUAUUGACAUUGGUACUUAAAAAGGCAUGUAUCAUAUAGUUUUCUUUGGGGUAUUCACUUCUAAGUCUUGAUUUUGAGUGGCUAUACUGAAUGAAUUCACGGGGAAUGUUUUUAGCGAGAAACUAUCAAGAUAGGAUCAAUGUUCCUCAAAGGAUGGAGGGUUUGAGCAAGAGAGCCUUUGGCAUCUGAAUGAGAGACUGGGUUACCUUUAUUUUCAGUAUUUUUAGUUUAUUUUGCUAUACAAAGCAAUUAACAUAUUUAGGUUCUUCACAUUCAUAACAGUUGCUCUAUUUUUACGAAUAGUUCCAUUUCAAAAUUCUGAUUAAUGAAAGAAUUGGAAACUCUAUGAUGAAACAAAGAUUGGGCUGGGAUUGAUAGCAUUUGGCAUACUGUUCUCAUUCUUAGGAACUAUUUUAUUUUUUGACAAGGGACUACUUGCCAUGGGAAAUGGUGACGAUGACCAUGCGACCGAAGUCCUUGAUGCAAUUCUUCACGAAAUGUAGCAAUUUCAAGGUUGGUUUGUUCUGUGUCUCCAUUCAGUGUGUAAACUCAUCUCCCGUUUUUAUUUGCCUUGUGAUGAUUGUACAAGGAACUAUUUCUUUCAGUGUGGGCUUUUUCUUGGUUGUUAUAGGAUGGAUUAUGUUGGGAAUGAUUUUGGAGGCAUAUGGGUUCAUCGUUCUUUUUAGGUUCAUUGGAUUUUCCUCCAAUGAUUUCAUGUCCUCUGCUCAUAUUACUUAAUAUUAGUAGCUAAUAAGGUAUUUUGUGUAGUAGAUUUUGGCCAACACUGUCAGUUUUUGUGUAGAAGAUACCUAUUAUUGAGUGGGUGUUCCAACAACCAUUUGUUAGAUCGGUACGUUUAUCUUGCAAUUUAAUAUAAUAUUUUUUUUAGAGAGAAUUCUCAUGGAUUUCUGCUG
This is a non-coding RNA of Camellia sinensis, 2276 nucleotides long. Lineage: Eukaryota; Viridiplantae; Streptophyta; Magnoliopsida; Ericales; Theaceae. The record is from RefSeq and is a predicted model, not a curated record.